Molecule: non-coding RNA, 838 nt
Organism: Pantoea vagans C9-1
Lineage: Bacteria; Pseudomonadati; Pseudomonadota; Gammaproteobacteria; Enterobacterales; Erwiniaceae
Source: Rfam
ACCUGCGCAGCCAUUUCACGGUCAGAGAGGCCACCGCAGAUCUGAAUAAGGCGGUCAGAGAGCGUAGAUUUACCAUGGUCGAUAUGAGCGAUGAUGGAGAAAUUUCUUAUGUGCUUCAUUUAUAGGGAUAUCUUCGCUUAAAAUUCAGUUGAAAAUCUGAGCACAGACACAUUCAGGAAGAUCGCUCUUUACCCACAAUCCUGUCAGCCUCAUUAAUGACGACGCAUAUUACACUGUUAACGCCGCGCAUAAAAGAAUGGAACGUGGUGGAAGCGAAACAGAUAUCUGCGCAAGGCAGAACGGACAAAGGCCGCGGGAUGCGCGGCCUGGACGUACAUUACGCUUCGCUUUCAACACGCAGCGCAUCGGGAGGGAGGGCAAUGUUCAGAAUGACCGGCUGAAAGGCUUCGCGAUCGCCAAAUUUCUUUGAAACGCCUUUCGCGACAAUAAAACCGCCGAUGCCUCCCAGCAACGCGCCACAGGCGGCCGCCAGAUCGCUGCUGAACAGCGACUGAAACAAUCCGGCAACCACGAACAGGCCAAACAGCGGCGUCAUGUAGACCAGCAGCGCCGAACCCAGCAAGCUGCUCUCUUUGAUGCCUAACUCAAUGCGCUGUCCCGGCUGCAGCGGCUUGCUGCUGCCAAUCUGCAUCACGUGAGCAUUCUUCGGACCGAGUUUGUUCAGCAUAUGGCUGCCACAGCCUUUGCGUGCCUGGCAGCUGUUGCAGGACGUUUUUGCUUCGGUGUGCAGUGUGGCAAUGCCAUCCUGCCAUGCCACCACGGUGGCCCAUUCUCUCAUCAUUUUUGUGACCCCAGGUCGAUGCUGUCCGCAAUACGC